RNAcentral lists this ribosomal RNA (264 nucleotides) under uncultured Enterobacteriaceae bacterium. Its description in RNAcentral is "partial 16S ribosomal RNA". It matches the Rfam family "Bacterial small subunit ribosomal RNA", at positions 1118 to 1382 of the family's 1533-position model. The record is from RNAcentral. Lineage: Bacteria; Pseudomonadati; Pseudomonadota; Gammaproteobacteria; Enterobacterales; Enterobacteriaceae.
CCAGCGAGUAAUGUCGGGAACUCAAGGAGACUGCCGGUGAUAAACCGGAGGAAGGUGGGGAUGACGUCAAGUCAUCAUGGCCCUUACGAGUAGGGCUACACACGUGCUACAAUGGCAUAUACAAAGAGAAGCGAACUCGCGAGAGCAAGCGGACCUCAUAAAGUAUGUCGUAGUCCGGAUUGGAGUCUGCAACUCGACUCCAUGAAGUCGGAAUCGCUAGUAAUCGUAGAUCAGAAUGCUACGGUGAAUACGUUCCCGGGCCUU